UUAAGCGACUAAGCGUACACGGUGGAUGCCCUGGCAGUCAGAGGCGAUGAAGGACGUGCUAAUCUGCGAAAAGCGCCGGCGAGGUGAUAUGAACCUUUGACCCGGCGAUGUCCGAAUGGGGAAACCCAGUGUGUUCCGACACACUAUCGUUAACUGAAUACAUAGGUUAACGAGGCGAACCGGGGGAACUGAAACAUCUAAGUACCCCGAGGAAAAGAAAUCAACCGAGAUUCCCCCAGUAGCGGCGAGCGAACGGGGAGCAGCCCAGAGUCUGAAUCAGCUUGUGUGUUAGUGGAAGCGUCUGGAAAGUCGCACGGUACAGGGUGAAAGUCCCGUACACGAAAGCACACAGGUUGUGAACUCGAAGAGUAGGGCGGGACACGUGGUAUCCUGUCUGAAUAUGGGGGGACCAUCCUCCAAGGCUAAAUACUCCUGACUGACCGAUAGUGAACCAGUACCGUGAGGGAAAGGCGAAAAGAACCCCGGCGAGGGGAGUGAAAAAGAACCUGAAACCGUGUACGUACAAGCAGUGGGAGCCUCUUUUAUGGGGUGACUGCGUACCUUUUGUAUAAUGGGUCAGCGACUUAUAUUCUGUAGCAAGGUUAACCGUAUAGGGGAGCCGAAGGGAAACCGAGUCUUAACUGGGCGUUAAGUUGCAGGGUAUAGACCCGAAACCCGGUGAUCUAGCCAUGGGCAGGUUGAAGGUUGGGUAACACUAACUGGAGGACCGAACCGACUAAUGUUGAAAAAUUAGCGGAUGACUUGUGGCUGGGGGUGAAAGGCCAAUCAAACCGGGAGAUAGCUGGUUCUCCCCGAAAGCUAUUUAGGUAGCGCCUCGUGAACUCAUCUUCGGGGGUAGAGCACUGUUUCGGCUAGGGGGCCAUCCCGGCUUACCAACCCGAUGCAAACUACGAAUACCGAAGAAUGUUAUCACGGGAGACACACGGCGGGUGCUAACGUCCGUCGUGAAGAGGGAAACAACCCAGACCGCCAGCUAAGGUCCCAAAGUCAUGGUUAAGUGGGAAACGAUGUGGGAAGGCACAGACAGCCAGGAUGUUGGCUUAGAAGCAGCCAUCAUUUAAAGAAAGCGUAAUAGCUCACUGGUCGAGUCGGCCUGCGCGGAAGAUGUAACGGGGCUAAACCAUGCACCGAAGCUGCGGCAGCGACACUAUGUGUUGUUGGGUAGGGGAGCGUUCUGUAAGCCGUUGAAGGUGUCCUGUGAGGGGUGCUGGAGGUAUCAGAAGUGCGAAUGCUGACAUAAGUAACGAUAAAGCGGGUGAAAAGCCCGCUCGCCGGAAGACCAAGGGUUCCUGUCCAACGUUAAUCGGGGCAGGGUGAGUCGACCCCUAAGGCGAGGCCGAAAGGCGUAGUCGAUGGGAAACAGGUUAAUAUUCCUGUACUUGGUGUUACUGCGAAGGGGGGACGGAGAAGGCUAUGUUAGCCGGGCGACGGUUGUCCCGGUUUAAGCAUGUAGGCGGAACGAUUAGGUAAAUCCGGUCGUUUAUUAACGCUGAGGUGUGAUGACGAGGCACUACGGUGCUGAAGUAACAAAUGCCCUGCUUCCAGGAAAAGCCUCUAAGCAUCAGGUAACAUCAAAUCGUACCCCAAACCGACACAGGUGGUCAGGUAGAGAAUACCAAGGCGCUUGAGAGAACUCGGGUGAAGGAACUAGGCAAAAUGGUGCCGUAACUUCGGGAGAAGGCACGCUGAUAUGUAGGUGAAGCCCCUGCGGGUGGAGCUGAAAUCAGUCGAAGAUACCAGCUGGCUGCAACUGUUUAUUAAAAACACAGCACUGUGCAAACACGAAAGUGGACGUAUACGGUGUGACGCCUGCCCGGUGCCGGAAGGUUAAUUGAUGGGGUUAGCGGUAACGCGAAGCUCUUGAUCGAAGCCCCGGUAAACGGCGGCCGUAACUAUAACGGUCCUAAGGUAGCGAAAUUCCUUGUCGGGUAAGUUCCGACCUGCACGAAUGGCGUAAUGAUGGCCAGGCUGUCUCCACCCGAGACUCAGUGAAAUUGAACUCGCUGUGAAGAUGCAGUGUACCCGCGGCAAGACGGAAAGACCCCGUGAACCUUUACUAUAGCUUGACACUGAACACUGGUCCUUGAUGUGUAGGAUAGGUGGGAGGCUUUGAAGCGUGGACGCCAGUCUGCGUGGAGCCAACCUUGAAAUACCACCCUUUAAUGGCUGGUGUUCUAACGUAGACCCGUGAUCCGGGUUGCGGACAGUGUCUGGUGGGUAGUUUGACUGGGGCGGUCUCCUCCCAAAGAGUAACGGAGGAGCACGAAGGUUAGCUAAUCCUGGUCGGACAUCAGGAGGUUAGUGCAAUGGCAUAAGCUAGCUUGACUGCGAGAGUGACGGCUCGAGCAGGUGCGAAAGCAGGUCAUAGUGAUCCGGUGGUUCUGAAUGGAAGGGCCAUCGCUCAACGGAUAAAAGGUACUCCGGGGAUAACAGGCUGAUACCGCCCAAGAGUUCAUAUCGACGGCGGUGUUUGGCACCUCGAUGUCGGCUCAUCACAUCCUGGGGCUGAAGUAGGUCCCAAGGGUAUGGCUGUUCGCCAUUUAAAGUGGUACGCGAGCUGGGUUUAGAACGUCGUGAGACAGUUCGGUCCCUAUCUGCCGUGGGCGCUGGAGAAUUGAGGGGGGCUGCUCCUAGUACGAGAGGACCGGAGUGGACGCAUCACUGGUGUUCGGGUUGUCAUGCCAAUGGCACUGCCCGGUAGCUAAAUGCGGAAGAGAUAAGUGCUGAAAGCAUCUAAGCACGAAACUUGCCCCGAGAUGAGUUCUCCCUGAGACUUUAAGUCUCCUGAAGGAACGUUGAAGACUACGACGUUGAUAGGUCGGGUGUGUAAGCGCAGCGAUGCGUUGAGCUAACCGAUACUAAUGAACCGUGAGGCUUAACCUU
RNAcentral lists this ribosomal RNA (2904 nucleotides) under Enterobacter cloacae. Its description in RNAcentral is "bacterial LSU rRNA". It matches the Rfam family "Bacterial large subunit ribosomal RNA". The record is from RNAcentral. Lineage: Bacteria; Pseudomonadati; Pseudomonadota; Gammaproteobacteria; Enterobacterales; Enterobacteriaceae.